Molecule: long non-coding RNA, 832 nt
Filed under: Nothobranchius furzeri (turquoise killifish)
Lineage: Eukaryota; Metazoa; Chordata; Actinopteri; Cyprinodontiformes; Nothobranchiidae
Description: lncRNA (ENSNFUG00015006511.1)
Source: RNAcentral
GUCCAUGGGGCUGAUUGAGGAGUUCAGCAUACUGCUCAAAAUAGUAGAAUUAGCUCUAAAGGUAGCGCGUGAACGCGCUUCUGAGAGGGUCGCCGUCUCGUCCCGGGAACGCGCAGUCAGAGGAUGUGGACAGAUGGUAGCAUCACUUCAGCAGCGCAGGUUCACACACAAGUGUGUGUGAGUGUCAGUGUGUGUUCUGUGCGUUCAGGCUGUCUCACUGGGUUGAUUCUUUACAAACUAAAAGCUCCGUGGCGCUCGGUACGGGAGGAAUCUAAACGAAUUGGCCGAUUAACGGGACGUCUUGUCGAGGAUGUGUGGCGUGGACGUGGACCUGGAUGAUGGUCCAGCUGAUGAGGAGAAGGAGGAGGAUGAGUUCUGGACCGGGGAUGCUGUGAAGAUGCUGCCCCCUCCCAUGGCCCACAGUGAGGGCAGUGUGUGGGGUGGCCAUAGGGGCAGGUGGGGCUGCUUGGCUUGUGGAGCAGCUCUCAUCCUCUGGAACCUGUGUGUGGUUUCAGUCGGAGCUCUGCUGCUGCUGGUGGUCUUCUGUGUGGUGCUGCUGCCGUCAGGGCUGCUGCUGUACGCCGGCUUCCUCUGCCACUCCAGGGUCCUCGAUUCCUCCUCUACCAUCUGCCGUUACCUUGACGACAACAGCUGCUCUGCCCUCAUCAUCCUGGGCUUUGUGAUGAUGUCUCCACUAGUGGUCGUGGCUGCUGCGAUCUUCUGCGGGCUGCUCCGAAGGUUUCGGCUUCUGCUUUUCAUCCAGCCGAUCGGGCGUGCUCGGUACCGAGGGAGGCUGCAGGACUGGGUGGGCAGCUUCCACGCCUGGGUCUAA